GGGGAGUACCGGGUUGUGACAUAAUAAACAUGACUGUUUUUUCUUUAUCAGUCAAUGGUGGCUGGAUUUGUGAGGUAAUAUCUCUUUAUCUUCGAGCAUAGUCUUUGAAGCCUUCAAUAGUUUUAUUCUCCAUACUUGGGAGGGUCAAACAAUCUAGAGCCAUAUCUAGAACAUGUUUAUAUUAAAUCCUUUUAUGAGUGGACAUAGCUUCUAUCCAACUUGUUAUACCAUCUAAUGGUUGAUCUUGUGAGGCUAUCUUGAAAACAAUGGAUCAACAACUCAUGAGUGUGAGCAGCCAUCUUACGACAAUGCAUGGUGACAUGUGCCAUUGGACAUUUAGUCCCAUCACACUUUUCAAAAUCUCAAACCUUGAUCUUUGGAGGAAUCAUUAGUCCAAGUACAAGACUUAGUUUCAAUACAUCAAUGGAACCCAAGGCAUUUGUCCCUUCCAUAGCGCACAAUCAUUCUUCUAAGAGAUCAAACUUUUUUCUAUGUUCCCAAAUUAUAUACAGCCUUGGACAUACCUCAACUUUUCUUGUUCUCUCAUAUCAUCGAGGUCUAGAACUAUAAUAAGAUUAACAGGAUUUACUCCAGUAGUGGUUCCCUACACUAAUGAUUAUCCUCCAUAAGGAUGUCCACCUAUAAAUGGUAUGAGAUACUGGUGUUGUUUUUCAUAAACAGGGGGUUGGUACAUGGAACCAUUGUUGCUUGAAAUUUGUUGGCUAGUUUAGUUAGCAGGUUCUUCAACCAUUGUUUUCCCUUUGCUCAUGUUCAUAAUUACCUCCAUCAUCUGAGCCAACUGCUCUUUUAUCUCUUCUUGAACCUACUCUAUUUGAUCCAUUCACACAGCUUGUUGAUUUUCCAUAAUCCUAAUUUACAAGCGAGUAUUGUAUAAGUGACGAGUAGGUGGCCUUGGUGGUCGAGCUAUUUUGAGGACCUUAUUUUACCAUAAAAAUGAAAUAUGCUUAUUAAGUAAUUGUGCAAAUGUAUGUUCAAAUGAAAAAAAAAUCUUGGUUAUGUAAAGGUAUGUUCUAAAUAUGUUUUGGAUAUUUGUCACACAACAAUAAAUGACGAAGGGAGAUUCUUUUUAGUCAUAUGUCACGUGGCUAAUAUCCUUAUGUGAUGGAUGCAUGAUGCAAGUGCAUGAUUGUAAAAAGACAAAAAUUAAACAAUAAGAUAUCUUUAUAUGAUUGAUGCAUGAUGCAAGAUGCAAGUGCGUGAUUGUAAAAAUACAAGUUAACAUAAAACAACAUAUAAUACCAAAAUCUUGUGUACCUAUAUUCGAGUAUUUUCUAUGGUGCAUGGUUAAAGGGCUUUAACUUAGAGUUGGCUCCUUAUGGUUCACUAUUGGAUUAGACAUAAAGCUAAAGGUUCUCAAAUUGUUCCCCAUUGUUAUCCACUUUAUACUCGUAAGGCACCCCAAUCCUUACCCAUUAUGGGCUACCAACGGAAAGGGUUCAAUUUAAGUAGAAGUAUUUUACUUGCCCACAUAGAAGUUAUCACCUCACGAGAGCAGGGUACUUUACUUCCUCCUAAAAAGGAUAAAGCCUAGGUUGAAGGUUUAUGCAUGCAUGGAAGUGUUAUGUGUGAAUAAAUAAAUUAUGUACAAGGAAUAUGAACAAAAUAAUAGAUAAAUAAAUAAAUAAAUUUAAACUACAAGGCUUAAGACAACAAACAACUAGUUAUAGGCUCGACUCUCGAGAUCACUAGUGGAGUCUCCAAGUUGUCAUAACGUGGUGAGUCCUAAAACUCAACAGUUUGACUUAAUAGAAGUCACUAUCAAUCUUUUUGGUUUAGGUGUAAUUGAUUAUCUAGGUAAAUCUAUUUUUCUAAUGAGGUCUCAAGCUUGACUUAGGUUCUAGCCUACAAAACAAAUUUAGGUUUAGGAGUACAGUUACGUGUAAGGACGGUAUUAGCACCUUUACAACGCCCAUUUAAUUGGUACUUAAUUAAUUAUUUAUUAUCUUUAGCCUUAUUCAAUUUUAUUCCAUUCCCCAAAACAAACAAAAUCUCUUUGAUAUUGAAAUUUUUCUUGAAAUUUCCAACAAUUAUGAAGAAAUUCAAGAAAAAUCUCUCACUUUGGAAUUUGCAAGAAGCUAUUAUUCAUAAUCUUCUUGAAAUUCCAUCAUUGGAGAUUUUUUAUUUAUUUAUAUUUGUGAUUGAAAUAAUCAAAAACUUGAUACUGAAAUAUUCCUUGAAAACUCUAACACUUACGAUAGAAUUCAAGAAAAAUCUCUCACCUAGAAAUUUUCAAGAAGCUAUUAUUCUUAACCUUCUUGAAAUUCCAUCAUUGGUAAGUCUUUAUUUAUUUAAUUUAAACCCUCAUUUUUUAUGUCACAAAAAUCAAAAUAAAAAUAAAGAUUAAAAAGAAAAAAGAAAUAAAAAUAAACAAAACUUACCUAAUUGGCUAAAAAACCAACUGUAAAACUAGAUACCAAAUGUGUAAUGUCAAGAAUGAGGAAUCCUCUCUAAACCUUAUUCACGAAACUAGGACACUCUUUCUGUUUUUCUUUUCUAAUCUCUCUCUUUAAUCAAAAUAGAUUCCUUAGAAACUGAAUUGAUUCUCUUUGAUCUAUAUAAAAAAAUUGAAACCCAAGAACCCAAUAACUCUAAAGAAUAUUAUUUCUCUCCUUUGCCAAUUGUUUUUUCUCAGUUUUCUCUAUUUUUCUCUGUCUCCAUGUCCCUCAGCAUUGAUGCUUGGGUAUAUUUAUAGCCAAUGGGUUCUAUUUCUUCUUCAAUUAGUGUCUUGAGUUUUAAUGCAACCUAACUUAAUCUCUUUUUAGAUUUCCCAAUUCAUGUAAGAAUAGGAUUGGUGCACACAUAUUCUUAUUCUUUCAUAUUUAUCUCUUUUUAUUUUUGUAUUUUAUUUUUUUAUUUUUUCAAAAUAAAAUAAGUAACCCAAACAAAAUGGGGUGUCUACAACCUUUAUCUAGGAUUUUGGUGGAUUUUUACAUGUAACUUGGAUUAUUUGUUUCUCUUUUACUUAUUUUGAAUGGGUAUGUUCACGCUUAUUCAAAUCGAAAAUUUAUUGACCAUUGAUUACUUGAUGACCAAUUCGAUGGGUAUGGUAUCUAAAUGAGGCUUGACAAAGUUAGUUUAGAUUAGACCUAGGUUUGGAUAAUAUGUGAACAUAUCACUUAGAAAUUAAGUGCCUUGAUUAGCAUCUAGGGUAGACAUACGCAUAGAUGCCACAUAUAGUCAAAGUUAGUUUAAUUGAAUCUUGUAGACAUUUAGAGAGCCAAUUAAUCUAGCCAUUGUACAAACACUAGACAUAGGAUUGUACAAACAUUAAGAUUCGAGACCAACAUAAACCCCCGUUGAAUUAAGUAAUUAGAGAAAUAAUAAUCCAAAUAAAAUGUUGCAUGAAAUAAUAAUCCUAGACUUUUAAAAUACUGCUUCCAAUUUAUUUUACCUUGCAAUUCUUUAAUUAUCUUAAAUAAUUUGUUUGUUUUAUUAUUUUCCACACUUCGGUUAGCUUAGACAAGGUUAGCUUGACCUAAGUUCAGUACUUAGUGAAGAAUUAUAGUCAACUUCUCAUGGGAUCAAUAAUUGACUUUAUUACUUGUUCAUAGCACGUGCACUUGCAUGUUAGUUUAAAUUCAUAUAAGAUUUAAGCCUGUAACAGUGAACAACAAUUUAAAUAUAGUUCCAAAAUGAAAUCUUAGAUUACAAAAUAUCAAGUUCAUAGCAUUUUUCAUUGUACAUUGCAAUCACUCACCAUAUAAAUAUAUUUGUAUCAUAAUUAUUAUUAUGCAUUUAUCAUUUAUUCUUUGUUGUUAUUUAUAUACAAGAUUCGUUUUUAUUUAUCAUUGCAUUUUUUUAUGUCUAUUAUUAACAUAUUAGACGUCAGUGCUUAUAUACAAUGAUGAGUGACAAUCUUACACUUAUUUUUUAUCUACAGAGGUACAAUAAUUAAUGCCACUCUUUGGAGAGAUUUAGCAUAUUGCAUUGGUGACAACAUCAUCAGAAUCAAAUCAAAGCUGAUCAUGAUCUUUGGAAGCAUUGAAGGUCGAUCAUUUUCACAAAUGGAAUCCUUUCCCAGUACUCAUUUUAGAAAAUGAGACCAUUGUCAUCUCAUGGCUUACAUCUCAGAAAGACAAAUCACAAAAAAACAAUUUAUUAUUCAACAAGUUGGAUCUUCAAAUUAAAAAUAUUACUAGAGUUCAUUUUGUCCAUAGUCCUCGUGACGCUAAUUUCUUUGUUGACUCAGUUUGCUAAAGAAGGGAUAUAUGGAGUAAAAGAAUUAGUUGCUUGAAUUUCUUAAUUCACUUACUUUCUAGUCUUAGGAUCAAAGUUUCUAACUUUUUUGGGAUCGAUCUUUUCCUUUUAGUUUCAUUUUUGG
Molecule: long non-coding RNA, 4342 nt
Filed under: Theobroma cacao (cacao)
Lineage: Eukaryota; Viridiplantae; Streptophyta; Magnoliopsida; Malvales; Malvaceae
Description: long non-coding RNA (TCAC_LNC000386)
Source: RNAcentral